Molecule: long non-coding RNA, 539 nt
Organism: Helianthus annuus (common sunflower)
Lineage: Eukaryota; Viridiplantae; Streptophyta; Magnoliopsida; Asterales; Asteraceae
Exons: 3
Source: RefSeq, a predicted model, not a curated record
AAAAUGAGUUUUUAUUAAUUAAAACUAAAAACACCAAAACACACACCUUUGUGUGUGUUCUGGUCGUACAAAACACAGGAGCCAAGAAGGGCUCUCAAGCUCAAACCCUAACAAGCAUAAAAUCAACAAAUUGAAGGGGUAAAUCCAACCUAAAUCGAAAUCCAAGCACGAAUUCAUGAUCACCUCGAUGAAGGGAUCAUAAGUUUGACUCUUGACAAGCUAGAUGGAGGCUUGGGGAAAGAAGCGGGUCAAACGGAUCGUAUUCGCGGAAAAGAGCAUAAUCCGGAUACUAGGUGAAGAUGGACCUAAUCCGGAUGAAGAUCAAGCGGCGAGCAAGAACCGAACACACGUUAAAUGAAGCUUCCGCGUCAAAUCUUGAUUUGUGUUGAUAUAAGUGAAUUAUGUAAACACUUAUAAAUUGUUUUUGAAAUGUUGUAAUCAUUUGGGAAUGUUGGUAUAACAAGUUUUGUAAAGACACAUUUUAGCAUAAAAAUUUGUAUCUUUUAUUAAAAUAUUAAUAAAACCAGACGGGCGUUACA